Molecule: small nucleolar RNA, 106 nt
Organism: Lycium barbarum (goji berry)
Lineage: Eukaryota; Viridiplantae; Streptophyta; Magnoliopsida; Solanales; Solanaceae
Source: RefSeq, a predicted model, not a curated record
AAACCAUGAUUUGGAGUUUUCUGCAAGUAUUCCUUGAAUCACCCCUAAGCUUCAAAUAGUUGUACACCCAAAACCUGUUUGAAAUCAUAAAUCUUAUCACGAAUUU